Episyrphus balteatus (marmalade hoverfly) is the source of this 1048-nucleotide long non-coding RNA. RefSeq lists it as uncharacterized. The record is from RefSeq and is a predicted model, not a curated record. The transcript is spliced from 3 exons. Lineage: Eukaryota; Metazoa; Arthropoda; Insecta; Diptera; Syrphidae.
AACAGCUCUUCAAUUAAGUUGUUAAGACAAUUGGCCUACGUGAAGUUUGCUUCUUUCGAUUGCAAUAUACCGAUUCGAGGGGUAACCUAACAUGGAUAAAAUUAUAUAAAAAGCUCACAACCGUGACCACCCCGAUGUAUAGAUCUCCAGAAAUGGUUGCCACCUGGAACAAUUAUGUUAAAGACCCCAAAUUGGAUAUCUGUGCUUAAGGAUGUGUUCUUUAUUGUUUAUGUUUCCAAAAACAUCCAUUUGAAGUUUCAGCCAAGCUACGAAUUACAAACGGAAAUUAUACAAAGCCAUCAGAUGCCGGAUUUAAUUGUUUCCAUGAUGUCAUCAAAUAGUGAAUAACUGUGAACCCCUCAAAUAGGUUUAACAUUUCAACAAUUUUAGAUCGUUUGGCUGGGAUAUCUUAAACGAAAAAUUGGUCAUUAAAGAGACCAAUUGAAUUGGUGGGAAAAACCAUUAGUAAUACCACCAAGUGGUUCACCGGAAAACAAUCCAGCAACAACAAAUGCACCUGUGCUCUCUCCACUUCCCUCACGACCUACACCACGAAGGCCUACACAUUCUCCCAACCUAUCGGCCUAUUCAGACAACAAUGUCUCAGAUAGUUUUCCCCAACAUCAACAGCAGCGUCCAGCAAGACCACCACCAGCUGCUGCCACCAACAACAUGCAACAAUACAACUACCAAGGACAAAAUCUACCACAGCCACCCAAAGCAGCAGGUGCCGCACAAACAGGAAGUCUUUUCUCCUCAAUCCGAGGUGGUGCUAGCAGUUUUCUCAAGAAUCUCAAGGACACCUCCUGUCGAGUUGACAUCGAGAUAAGUUACAUUACAUCAAGUAUUCUAAUGAUGCCAUGUCCCUCUGAAGGCUUCGAAUCGGCCUACAAAACAAACAUUGAAGACGUCCGGUUGUCCAUCGAAAGUCGUUAUCCACCAGCAAAAGUAAGCGUCUACAAUUUUGGCAAUCGAAACUGUCUACGUCUACCUCCACCGGUACGCCGGACAGUCGGAGACGGCUCCAUCUACACAUGUCCUCAAUCCA